RNAcentral lists this ribosomal RNA (460 nucleotides) under uncultured bacterium. Its description in RNAcentral is "partial 16S ribosomal RNA". It matches the Rfam family "Bacterial small subunit ribosomal RNA", at positions 338 to 795 of the family's 1533-position model. The record is from RNAcentral.
CCUACGGGUGGCAGCAGUGCGGAAUAUUGGUCAAUGGGCGAAAGCCUGAACCAGCCAAGUCGCGUGAAGGAUGACUGCUCUAUGGGUUGUAAACUUCUUUUAUAAUUGAAUCAAGUGAGGCACGUGUGCCUUUUUGUAUGUACUUUAUGAAUAAGGAUCGGCUAACUCCGUGCCAGCAGCCGACGGAAUACUGAGGAUCCGAGCGUUAUCCGGAUUUAUUGGGUUUAAAGGGAGAGUAGAUGGGUUGGUAAGUCAGUUGUGAAAGGUUGCGGCUCAAAAGUAAAAUUGCAAUUGAUAAUGGCAGUCUGGAGUACAGGUGAGGGAGGCGGAAUUCGUGGUGUAGCGGUGAAAUGCUUAGAUAUCACGAAGAACUCCGAUUGCGAAGGCAGCUUACUAAACUGCCACUGACAUUGAUGCUCGAAAGUGUGGGGAUCAAACAGGAUUAGAUACCCCUGUAGUC